This 496-nucleotide ribosomal RNA is filed under the name uncultured bacterium. RNAcentral describes it as "partial 16S ribosomal RNA". It matches the Rfam family "Bacterial small subunit ribosomal RNA", at positions 29 to 507 of the family's 1533-position model. The record is from RNAcentral.
AUGAACGCUGGCGGCGUGCCUAAUACAUGCAAGUCGAGCGCACGGACGAGAAGCUUGCUUCUCUGAUGUUAGCGGCGGACGGGUGAGUAACACGUGGAUAACCUACCUAUAAGACUGGGAUAACUUCGGGAAACCGGAGCUAAUACCGGAUAAUAUUUUGAACCGCAUGGUUCAAAAGUGAAAGACGGUCUUGCUGCCACUUAUAGAUGGAUCCGCGCUGCAUUAGCUAGUUGGUAAGGUAACGGCUUACCAAGGCAACGAUGCAUAGCCGACCUGAGAGGGUGAUCGGCCACACUGGAACUGAGACACGGUCCAGACUCCUACGGGAGGCAGCAGUAGGGAAUCUUCCGCAAUGGGCGAAAGCCUGACGGAGCAACGCCGCGUGAGUGAUGAAGGUCUUCGGAUCGUAAAACUCUGUUAUUAGGGAAGAACAUAUGUGUAAGUAACUGUGCACAUCUUGACGGUACCUAAUCAGAAAGCCACGGCUAACUACGUG